Molecule: transfer RNA, 71 nt
Filed under: Marmota monax (woodchuck)
Lineage: Eukaryota; Metazoa; Chordata; Mammalia; Rodentia; Sciuridae
Description: tRNA.Ala
Source: RNAcentral
GGGGUUGUGGCUCAGUGGUAGAGUGAUUGCCUAGCUUGCAUGAGGCACUGGGUUCAAUCCUCAGCACCACA